CCCUAAAAGACUAUGAUUCAAGUUUAAAUGCCAUAAUUUAUUUCAGCACUUGUGCUCUAACUACAAAUUCUACAAAUCAAAAUUGUUCAUAUUUACUGGAUUUAUAAGGGUUCCAUAACAGAACUGUUGAAAGUCUUUGAAAAAUGUUUUUAAAGAUUUCCUCUGAAGUUAUUCAAAAAUUCAACCUAAGCUUAAAUUGCUGUUUUCUAAAGGGAAAUAACUUCUAAACCAAAACUACUCCUAAAUCAAAUGUAUUCAUGCUGGUACUAUUUCAAAUUCAUCAAGACACAAGAGGAUAAUAGAUGUUCAUAUUUACAUAGGAAUGAUUUCUUAGCUCAAUAAGUAAACCCACAUUUGGGAGAAACAACUGGUCUUUCAGCUAAGCCAUGAUUUCAACGUUAUUCCUACUUACAUAACAGAUUAAGCAUUUAUUUCUCAAUACUAAAGUCAAAAGAAACAUUGGGCAUUGAAGAGCUUUAUGAUAUUCUAAAGGCCAGCUUCAGAUCUGGAGCUAAUGAAGACGGGUCAGGAAUUACCCAGCAAUUACUUUAUUCACUCUAUUCAGUGUUUACACCUAGAAGCCCCAAUCAGCUGCAAAUGAUCCGACUUGACCAGGAAAUCAGAAACUUUCUGAGCACAGGCAAAAAAAAGUUGCUCAGUUGCAAAGUCAGCUUGCGGCUGAUGACCUGUAACUGUCCGUUUUUUUUUGAGACGGAGUCUCCCUCUGUUGCCCAGGCUGGAGUGCAGUGGCACAGUCUCAGCUCACUGCAAGCUCCGCCUCCAGGUUCACAUCAUUCUCCUGCCUCAGCCUCCAGAGUAGGUGGGACUACAGGUGCCAGCCACCACGCCUGACAAAUUUUUUGUAUUUUUAGUUGAGACGGGGUUACACCAUGUUAGCCAGGAUGGUCUCGAUCUCCUGACUUCAUGAUCCGCCCACCUCAGCCUCCCAAAGUGUUGGGAUUACAGGCGUGAGCCACUGCGCCCGGCCAGCCUGGCCAACUGUCCCUCUUUCAAACCACAAGCUCCUCAAGGAUCCUCUGCAGAUGCCUCUCUGCGAGUCAAGCCCAGGUUGGUGCCCAGCAACUUUCAGAGUGAUGUUUCAUUUCCUGCAUGCUUUCUCUACAUAGCACCAGUAAGCCUGGACUUCUAGCCCAUGAUAGAAGCGUGCCCCUAAUUCCCGGCUAUCUUUCUAACAUGGACUCCCCAUGCUACUCAAGACUUCUAUCCACAAUUUAUGUCCUCAACAGACUCUGGCUUGUCUGAGGGUUCCAACAUUUCCCUCUUAUUCUGACUUAGAUAUAUGUCUACUCUAUUUCACAUAACUUUCCCCAGUUCUAGGUUUUCACCCUAAAUUUAGUGGCUCAAACCCUAAUAUCUGGCUUCAAAAAAACUCAGCAGAAGUUCAAAAGCAUUUCUAUUCCUCCAAGCUCAUAUGUUCUUUUUCCUACACUAGGCUGAGGUCCCAGAUGCCAGUUCUCAGACACAUUAGUGGCUCUAGAUAUGCACUUAAAGCAAACAUAACCUUAAACGGUAAAUAAAGAACCCGGAACUUGGAAUUAACAUAUGCGUUUCUGAUGCUAGCUCUGCCACUAAGAUCACACCACUGUAUGAUCUUGGAUGAGUCAUUAACUCUCUAGGUCUGUUUUUUUCAUCUCUAACAUUAAGAGGUUUUAUAAUUUCAAAGUUCUCUUCCAGCUAUGAAAUUUUAUUAUUAUAUUCUGCAAAAGUAUUUGUCAGAUUAAUUCCUAGACAUAUAAAGACAUAUAAAGGUUUAACACAUUAUCUAUUGUUAUUUACUCUGCCAUUUCUCCUCUCCAUUUGUGUGGACAACUGAAAGUCAAUUACGUAUGCUAAGGCAAAGACAUUGGGGAAGACUCCCUAUACUUUUACUCCACUGGCAUAUCUAGAUGAACAACUUAGUGCCCUGCUGAUUAAAGGACUCAAAGACUCAUCCAUAUCCAUUUCUCUCACAAGUUUAAAGAAGCAAAACCCAGUCGCUGCUACCUACUAUGGGCCAGGGAUCCAGUUAAGCACUUUACUGCCUUAAUUCCAAUCCUCACUAUUUGAAAGGAAAAAAUGAUCACCAUUUCACAGGAUCAGAGUGGUUCUUUAGCUUACCCAGCAUCACAGCUCUAACAAAUGGUGGUGGAAGAAUUCAAAUGUAAGACCUUUGCUUAGGACAGGCACGCUAGUAAAGACCAGAAAAGGUAUUAAGGCCGGGAUUCGUGGCUCAUGCCUGUAAUCUCAGAACUUUGGGAGACCGAGGCGGGCAGAUCACCUUAGGUCGGAAGUUCGAGACCAGCCUGACCAACAUGGAGAAACCCCGUCUCUACUGAAAAUACAAAAUUAGCUGGGUGUGGUGGCACAUGCCUGUAAUCCCAGCUACUCAGGAGGCUGAGGCAGGAGAAUCACUUAAACACAGGAGGAGGAGGUUGCAGUGAGCCGAGAUCGCGCCAUUGCACUCCAGCCUGGGCAACAAGAGCAAAACUCUGUCUCAAAAAACAAAACAAAAUAAAAAAGAAAGGGUAUUUAACAUCUCAGGCUUGGGCACAAGUGAUCGCAACACUCAACCUGCCUGCCAUACCAUAAGCAUGCAUUAAACUUUCUAUUGCAUUUAACAGUACUUACAUUGUGCCCUUCCCAAAAGAUAGAAAGAAAUGGAUUCUCCUAGGAAUGGCUUCAAAUUUGUCAUAUGUGAAAAAAGAAAAUAAAGUCUGUAAUUUAAACAUUAUAUAUACACACACACAUGCAUAUCUACUUGCUAUAUUUAAAAAUCUAGUUAGAAAUGAAAAUAUGUCAAUGACCCUAUCAUUUUGAACAAGUAAACAUAAAAUGGAAUAAAUAAAAAUACAGAUGAAAAUAAAUGGGAAAUACAGAAGUCAUUUAUUUUAACUCAGAGUUUUAAACUCUGUCUCUAAAAAUGAAUAGAAAUUAGUACUAACUAGUAAGAUAAAUUAUAAAGUUACAAUAAUUAAAAUUGUCAUCAUAUGGUAGAAAUUUAGAAUAUGAUCGAGGUAGCACUUCAAAUCAGAGAAAAAAAUAUGGAUUAUUUAGUAAAUGAUGUUAGGACUAUUUGCCAGCCAACUGGGGGAAGAAAACAAAAUCUGGAGUUCCCAUUUCUGACACCAAAAUUAACGAAGUUCUCAUCUCUCACACCAAAAUUAAUUCAAGAUGGCUCAAAAAUUUAACAAAAAACAUAAUGAAAUAUUCAGAGAGAAUUUUUGUUAAACAUAAUAAAUAAAGUAAAUGUUUUUAUCUCCAAGACCUCUUGAGACCUAAGUCACUAAAGAUUAAAUUAAACAGGGUAAAAUUCUAAAAGGACUAAUGAUGAUGAUAACAAAUAAGAGAUGUCACCCAAGACAGAAGGGCCAGGGUAACUGAUUAAGCCAAGUGGAGAUAGCUGAAGCCUAACCAGCUCCAGUGAUAAAAGUCUCCAGGGAUGGAAAUCAAAGAAAGAUGUCUUACACUUUCACAUGCACGAGAAUCACCUGGUGAUGCCCAGAUUCCAAGUCAACAGAUCUGGGGUGGAGCCUGAAGUGCUGCAUUUCUAACAAGCUCCCUGGUGAUGGGGCAGAGGCUGAUGGUCUAUGGUUCACACUUUGAGUAGAGAGGCUUUAGACUAGAGAAUGCCAGAAAUGUUUGACAACUGUAGGCACCAGAUACCUCUGGAGGUCAGGGUGUAAAGUUCAGCUGGAACAGGAUACUGGUCCAAAGUCUGUACAAGGAACAUGAACACCUCCAGAUUGGGUCCCCGAAACCAGGUGACUGCUCUCCCCAGCCCCAGCAGAGAGGGGUGGUUUACUCCUGGGAAGGUUGAAUCACAGAGGACCUGGCUUUUGGGACACUGAGUACAGUGACCAAAACAGGAUUAAGAUAAAUCUUCAUCUCACUGCUCAGCUCUCAGAACAGUGGCAGCAGGCUUAUAACCAUCAAGCAGGCUAGAGAAAAGCUGUUCUCUGGGGAAACUGACUAGUUCAAGAGAAAGUACUCUAAGGAAAAAACAAAACAAAGCAAACAAACAAAAAAAAAAACCCUGAAUGAUCAGACUACAUAAAACUUGAAACCUUCAGCCAGGGAAAAAUAUCAUGAAGUCAAAAGACAAAGCACAUAAGCAAAUAUUCUCAGUAUACAUGAAAAAGAGCAUAUUUCUUUCUUUUUGCAUAGGAAGCCUUUAUAAAACAAUAAACACUCCCAAAAAAGACAAAAACAUUAAUUCGUGGAAAACUAAAUACAAGUGGCUUUAAAACAUAUAAAAAUGUGCUUAACUUCACUUUUAAAAAGCGCAAGUUAAAAUAAUACCAUUUUUCACACAGUCAAUUGGCAAGCGUUUGCAAGUUCAAUCAUACUGUUAGAAACUUUCCUUCAGUGAGCAGAAAUAUAUAAACACGUACAAUCCCCUAAGGGGACAAUUCUCCAAUAUCUAUCAAAAUUCAAACAGACCCAGCCACUUCACACUAAUAGAAAUUUAAGGUAAUUCACAUGGAAAGAAAGAAAGACGUACAAAAGUUGCCACUGUGACAUUGCUUUUAAUAGCAUAUGAUUGGAAAUGAUCUCAAGAAGCACUGAUAGGGGAGUGGUUAAAUUAUGAUAAAUAUAUGCAUUUUAUAUGCUAUAUAAAAUGUUAAAAAUUCUGCACAACCAUUUACUAGAAAAAAGUUGACUUUUCAAUAUUUCCAUAAAAAGAUGUUCAAGAUAUAGUAAGUGAAAAACAAAGUGCAAAUGAGCUUAUAUAGUUGUGUUAAAUAAAAUGUAGAGACACAUGGCUAUGGACUGAAUGUUUAUGUCCCCCCAAACUUGCAUGUUGAGGCCUACAACCCCAGUGUGAUGGAACUAGGGUGUAGGGCCUUGAGAAGCAAUUACAAGGGUGGAACCAACCAUGAAUGGAAUUAGUGCCCUAUGAGACUCUCUCUCUCUCUCUCUCUCUCUCUCUCUCUCUCUCUCUCUCUCUGUCUCUCCCUCAUUCCUUUCCUCCCUCACUCUACCAUGUGAGUAUACAAAAAAAAAGACAAAGAGCCUCUGCAAACCAGGAAGAGGUGCCUCACCAGACACUGCAUCUGCUGGUGCCUUGAUCUUAGGCUUGUCUCCAGAACCAUGAAAAAUAAAUUUCUGUUGUUUACGCCACCAGUCUAUGGUAUUUUGUCAUAGCAACCUGUGAUGGUUAAUUUUGGGUGUCAACUUCACUGGAUUAAGGCAUACCUAGAGAACUGGUAAAGCAUUAUUUUGGGGUAUGUAUAUGACUGUGUUUCCAGAGGAGAUUAGUAUGUGACUCUGAGCAAAUUAAAUGGGGAAGAUCUGCCCUCAAUAUGGGCAGACACUAUCCAAUUGCCUGGGGUCUUGGAUAGAAAAAAAACAGAGGAAAAGGAUUUCCUGUCUCUCCUGGAGCUAGCACACACUCUUCUCCUCCCGCCUCUGGACAUCAGGACCCCAGGCUCUCCAGCCUUGGGACUCCAGGACUUACAAAAGCAGUCCCUACUACGUUCUCAGGCCUUUUCACUUAGACUGAGCCAAGGUACUGAUGCUGCAGGGACUCCAGCUUACAGACAGCCUAUUGCAGGACGUCUCAGCCACCAAGAUCAUGUGAGCCAAUUCCUCUAAUAAAUCUCCUAUCUAAUCUAUCUAACAUAUUUAUCUAUCUAUCAUCUAUCUAUCCAUCCAUCCUAUUGGUUUUCUCUGGAGAACCCUAAGACACAACCCUAAGACAUAUAUACUUGAACAUGCAUAGAAAAUAUUCCAGAAGGCAGUUGCAAAUGGUUGUCUCUGAGGAGAGAGUUUUAUCUUUCAUGGUAUACCCUAUUUUAUUGUUUGAUACUUUUUUACAAUAUGCAUGCAUUGAUUUUUUUUUCUUUAUUAGCUUCCUUCUCAAAGAAUUACACAGAGCAAGGUGAUAAAAGGGUGAUUAAAAAAAAAAAAGAGGAUGCCAGAGAGGAGCAUAAUUAAUGUACUGGCUGGAAGCUGCCAUUCCUUGUUCUGUCCAACAACUGGUUUGAGAAGAUAGGCUAACCUCUUUUGCAACUCUUUCUCUGUACCUCAGAAAGAGAAACAAUAGUAAUAAUACACAAGUUUAUUUUAGUUUGUAAUUUUGAACCCUUCAUCUAUUGUGAUCAUUUAUUUCAUAAACAUAUGUCAUAUAUUUGAACCUUUUCCAACUUAGUGCCUUAGGCUUACCUAGCUAACAAAAACAGUGAGCCCGGACUUGCAUGUGAGAGGGUAGUUGUAUUCGACAUUAACAAAUGUCUGAUUCUAAGCCUUGAAGCCACCAUGUUGCAAGACCAAACACGACCCACAGAACACAAACACUACCACACUGGGGCAGGAGCCAAUAAUCUUGAGAAAGUUUGCCUGCUGUAACUAAGCCUAACAGCCUGACCUAUGAGCCAAUGUGCUUUAUAUCAAUUUUCUAAAACCAAGAAAUAUUAUUAAGAAACUAGCUACUUCUAGUAAACUUAACGGUUUCCCAAUUCAAACCCUUGGAUACAAUUUCCAUAAAAUACCAAUAAAAAUAUUAUAUAUAAUCACUCCUUUUUCACUAAACUAUUACUGCUAGCCUUAUUGUUUAUACAUCCAUUAAAUUUAAUCAUUGAUUCUACCCUGUCAUUUCACCAAAUCCAUACGCAGUAAGUUCUCUACCACUUUGAAGCUGUACAUUUUUAUGAGAAAAAAUAAAUCCCACGAUAUAAAAUUGCUUUUCAAAAAGUUACUUUUAAAAAGCCAUCCUAGAAUGUCUUUAUUCUUAGAGACAGUCUAGGAUGGCUUUUUAAAGAUCCGUGCUCAACUACUCAUUGGUGAUGCGUCAUAAUAGCUGCGAUUUACUUUGCAUGCUACAGAAAAAAUAUGAUAAAAUGUUAAUAAUCAUUGAAUUCUGGUGGCAAGAAUAUGAGUGUUCGUGGCACUUUUUUUUAGCUUUUCUCUAUAUUUGAACAUUUUCAUAAAAGUCAAAAAAUGUUAAUACAUGCCAUCCUAUUGGUAUAAAAAAAUAACUUUUCCCAAGUAGACAAGCACGAUGAGAUAAUAUGAUGACUAAAAGGUAGGGUGGGACAGGCAAUCAACUGUACUGAAGAACAACGUAGUUCUAGAUUUAAAGUCUUUUUGAGUUCUCAGUUCAUAGUUGUUGCUGAAUCUUGGUUACUUGUUGCUUGUUUACAUGCUGAAUGAAAAUGUUUCUACCAUCAGAAUAGCUUAAUCAUAAGGUAAUUCUUCUGAUAAUAAAUUAUUAGGAAGCCCCAUACAAGGACAGAUAUUCUUCAUUACUGAUUUCUUGUUCAAGGUAACUUAUGGUUGACUUUUAUUUGUUGUAAAGGAAUAUAACACAACACUCACCAUUCCUGUUAGCUAAGUAACCCUAAGGCAAUGAGUUGGGAAGGGUGAAAUAUGUUUGUUAAAUAAAUGUUUGCAAUAGAUGUUGCAAAGUUCAAAGUAUAAACUUGAAUUUCUCACUGUAUUUUAUGAUUAUCAUUCCCAUUUCUUUAAAGAAAGAGUGGCAAAAUGUCUUGUUAUGGUAUUAUUAAAUUUCCUUCCUAACCAGCAUCCCAACCUUCUGUUCUUUGGAAAAGUCAUCAUGUUAAAAUAGUUGUUUUCUUUAUAGAUUAAGUUUACCAAAAUUACAUUCUAUUUGCUGCAGGAUAAGUCAUGGUUGGGAGGACACGAGGAAUGCAUUUCCUCAUACUGCGUUGGUAGGGAUGUCAAUUGGUAUAAUUUUUCUUGAAAGGUUUUCAAUGCAUUUAUCAAAAUUUUAACUCUGCACAUUCUCUGAUCCAGCAAUUCUACUUCUUUAUGUCAGUUUAGGGAAAAACACCUAAAUGCAAAAACACCUAAAUGCAAAGAAGUCUGUAUAGGAAUGAAGUUACUGCAUUGUUUCCUAUAGCAUUUAUGGAAAAGCCGUUAAAUCAACUAGGAAACACCCACAUAACGGGAUGCUGUGCCAUCACAUUAAAAAGAAAAUGGCUCUACAUUCACCAACAUUGGAAAAUCCCCAAGACAUGGCCUUACGUGGAAAAAAGACAAAUAAGUUUCAGAGCAAGACUCAGAAUAUACCAUUCAUAUUUUCUUUUGUUUUUUUGAGAGACAUGAUCUUGCUGUGUUGAUCAAGCUGGAGUACAGAUUCACAGGUGCAAUCAUAGCUCACUGCAGCUUUCAACUCCUAGCCUCAAACAGUCCUCCUGCCUCAGCCUCUUGAGUAGCUGGGACUACAGGUGCGUGCCACCACACCUGGCAUCAUUCAUGUUUUAAACAAACUUUAUCUUUCCAUAUACAUACAUAUGUAGACAAAUCAUUGAAAAAGGUCCAAAAGGACAUGUAUAUCAACUACUAAUACUGGACACAUCAGGGAAGAAAGUGAGAUAGAAGAAACAGUGAAAAUGGAGAACUGGCUGUGUGUUUUUUUAUUUUUUUAUUUUUUUCGUGUAUGGGGAGUUUCCUAAUGAGACUAUAGACAUAUCAUUAGUAAUUUUUAAAAUAACUGUUAAAUCAAGAGGUAUCAUAUUCUAAAUAUUUCAAACACAAUUUUGUAGCAUUAAUGUUAGAUAAUGAAACAUUUUUUAAUCCACAAAUUAAAAUUAAUGCCCUAGAAACUAACAAACGGUUACUGCUGACACAAUAAUGCACUAAGAUUUAUUAUAUAUUGUGUCAUUACAUUUCUAGGAAAACCGAAAAGAAUUCAGAAUUUCCAUUUAAAAGUAGCCUGAAAAAACAAUCAUCUUAAACAUGAAUAAUUUGGAAGAAUGUUGUUGUGCCCUUUUUGUAGAGAUACUAGGACUUAGUAAAGUGAUUAUAAAACUGAAAAAAAUGCAAACAGAGAUAGCAGCACAAUAAAAGGGUAAAUUUUUUUAAGAUUACAGAAACAUUAAGAACAAAAGAAAAAACUUAAACAAACAUGAGUGAAAAGAUACAUGGUAGGCAGGUGUGAAAAAAAUUAAUAAAACCACAUGGAAAAAACUAAUAAUAUUAAAAUGAUUAUAGACAAGAUGAUAGACAUGAAAGGCAGACAAAGGAAAUCUAACAUAUGUAUAACUGAUAUUCCUGAAGAAGAGAAGGAUAAAAGGAACAAAAGAUAGAUCCAAAGACAGAACAAAAAGCUUAAAUAAGAAAAAUUGAGAUGAAAAGAUACGUUUUUAAGGUGAGCAUAAUGUUUCAAAUGCAAGCACUGCAAGUUUUAAAGACAUUAUUUGCAAAACAAAGUAUUCCAAUGUCACAAACCAAUAUUUUGUGUUCAAAAUAUCUGGUUUUUUCAAAUCCAAAGUAUCGGAUACCUUUGUUUCCAUUGUCUCAAAUGACAAAUUGAGUGAGACCAUCUAUAUUCAAGGAACAAGAUCCAGUUUGUCAACAAACUUAUACACCUAUCCUAUUUAACAUCCUUAAUCUGUUUAUCUUUUAAAAAGAAAAAGAUGUAAAGAUACUGUAUUUUUGUCUCUUUACUAGCGCCUAUCCUUAUAAAACAGUAUAUUAAUCAAAUAAGGUGGAAAAGAAAAUGGAUGUUCUGACUAUGGCCUUUCUCUUACUUUCUCACAUUCUGACAUCCUCUUCCCAUUCCUUUUUCAGUAAUUUCUUUAUUAAAUUCGAUGGCCAAAUACCAAUCAGAUUUUGUACAUAAACACACACACACAUAUCUAAGCAUGAGCACAGACUUAACACAAAGAAAGAAGGUUCUAUUGGUAAUGACAAGUACCAGAGCUUCUGUCGUCCUCUAUAAGGAACCUACUAUUCCUUAAGUGGAAUAGUGAGUUUUGCUGCAUAAAUUAGGCCUUUCCUCUUCAUACUGCAAACGGUUUUUAAAGCUUCUGGGGUACCAGUAAUGUUCUGAUCCUUGAUCUCUGUUCUGAUUAAUGAACACAUGGUGUAUUCACUUUGCUGUGAUAAUUCAAUGAGCUGUACAAGAAGGUAUACUUUUAUGCGUGUUUCAGUAUGAAUGCUAUACAGGGAGAAUAAAAAGUCUGCUUUAGAAAAAAAUAGCAUUUUUCUAACAAUGCCAUAUGAACAUUUGCUAAGCAAGUUUGAGUGCUGGGGUUUAGAGCUAAUACCCACUAGGGUAUAAUGGUGACUGAAUCAGCGUUUCUCCAAGAUGGAAUUUUAAGCCCAACUCAGGAAUCUAUGCUCCCUUUCAUUGUGCACACAUGGGUCAAUCAGCGUCUGCACUCACACUCUCAUCUACAUCUCUCCCUCUCUCCACAGAUUCGAACUGGGCCUCAGAAACAAAAAGACUAUGUUCAACUUUACCUGCAAAGAUAAGUGUAACCUCUUCUCAACACCCAAAAUAUAUAAUCAUAUACUAUUUACUUACUUUGGCAGUUCUCAUUCAGAGCAGCAGCCGGACUCUUAGAUUGGCUUUUAAAGUAAGGUGGAAGUUUCUAGCAGCUAAGCGCAUUCAAUUUAGAAAAGCUUUAGACAAUCUGAAAGGAAAGAAAUUCCUUAUAUUUGACCCCUGAAUAAAGAAUUAGUUAUUGGCUGGCAAGUGGAAUGGCGAUUGACGGAGAGAGCGGCUACCCAGGUCUGGUUCUGCUUUAAAUGCAGUAUUUUUGUCUCAUCUUUAACUCUGAAAAAGGGGGAAACAGCUUACCAAAAAAUAAACAGUUGUUUUAAAUUGUGGAACCAAAUAACUCAAAUUUAUUUCCUUUUUAGAAAUCAGAAAAACAGCCUAAAACCAUGACGUUAUCUUUGAGAACAGAAAGAACAUUUAUUUUAUGCUAUUACAUAGUUUUUAAAUGCCAAAAAACUAAAAAGUAGUAUGUAAUAAAUAACAUUGAAAGUGUAGCAAAAGUUGAGGUGAAAGCUCUUAUUAUAUAUGCAAGUGGAUUUGCCCCAAAUUCAUUAUUACCCUGGGAAAUGUGAGAACAACAGACCAUCUGGUAACCAGGGCUCAGGGCCAAAAGGUAAAAGGGAUCCCCUUCCCAAUGAGGAGAUUCCUUUUACCCAGGACAUUUUUAAGACAGAGUAGGUUCUGGCAAAGAGGGGAAGGUAAGAAGAUGUGAAAGCACUAGGCAAAUAGGAUUCAGCAGUCAAAUAAGCGGUAAGCCAUGGUCCUAAAUUGGUUUACUUGCCUUCUGCCCAAUCUUAGAUGGCUUGACACUAACCAGGUGUGGACAGCCUGGGGCAGGGACAUCACAAGUAUUGACACUGGUAAGCCUGUUUAAAGCUUAGAGACCCACAGCUAACGCCUGCCUCUGAGCGAGGCAGCCUUGGGAGGAGCUGGAAUUUCCUAGCACUGUUCUCAUUAAACUCUAAGAUAUAGUUUACUGGCAUGUUUAUUUCAGGAGCCUCAUUCUUUCAAAUAAACUAUACCUAAUGCUAGCAAAAGUAAGCUUCACACAUUGUAAAACUCAAAACUAUGAACAUAAAACACAUACACAAAACCACUUGACUGCCUGAACCCUCCUUAGAAAUCCUGUCUGGUUAACAACCACCACCUGCAUAUCUGUUUUUGUUCUCUCCCUAGUCCCUUUGCAAUUCUGCAAGCAGCCAUUUAAGUGUGGGAGCUUAACAAGCAAGACUUAACACACACUGGGUGAAGGCAGAAGGAAAACAAAAAAGUUUAUGGUCUCAGUAACACAGGCAUGCUAAGGAUGAAUUAGCACACCAGGAACUGACCCUGGCUAUCUACAGACACAGUUCUGCCCUCAGAAGCUCCAACCCACACUUAAUGGGGAGCCUUUUAAUCACCUUUUUAAAAAGCCAUGAAAUGUGGCACAGGGACAGUGGGGGCAGGCAACACCCCUCAGUCACCAAGGAAGCUUCUUCCCACAAACACUCUAAGUCACCCUUAGGGCGAGACAGAGAAGCCAUUUCUUAUGGUGCAAUCAUAGUUCAUUGCAGCCUGGACCUCCUGAGCUCAAGCGAUCCUCCCAUCUCAGCCUCUGGGGUAGCUGGGGCUCCAGGUGCAUACCACCACGCCCAGCUAAUUUUUUUUUUUUUUUUUUUUUGGUAGAGUUGGCAGGGUCUCACUAGGUUGCUCAGGUUGGUCUCAAACUCCCAGGCUCAAGCAGUCCUCCCAAAGUGCUGAGAUUACAGGCAUGAGUUACUGUCCUGACCUCAGGAUGGGUUUAAUAGGCUGAGCAGUCAGGUAGAGUGACCAGCUGUUUCAAUUUUCCCUGAAAUGGCAUUUCCUGAGACAAUCUCAAAUCAGGAUGAAAUGGUUACUCUAUAAUGGCACUGCUAGGGUUCCAGGUCAGCCAGGCUCUGCCAGGACCUGAGUGAGUGGCAGAGCACAAGUCACUUCAUUCAUCUCUUUAGGCUGCGUAUCUUCAUAUCCAAAGUGGGAGGUGGAGUAGUAUUUUUAUCUCUGCCAGUAUUUCUCAAAGUGUGGUCUUCUGGUCACCUGUGCCAUGAAACAGUGUCUGACAGUGGUAUUGCAGUUGUGGGGGUGGGUAGGAACAGUGUACCCUGGUAGGGAGGAGUAUUUUAUCACUUCUAUCAAUUCUGUGUUAAUAACUGGCUUCACAUGGUGCCAAUAAAAGACUAACUUUUAACCAAUUUUUUUUAAUUCUCUACAGCUAAUACAUCACCUUACUGCGUGUACCCAAAGCAGAUCACUCCCACCAUUCCCCACUUCAGGACACCACUGUUGUCUGACCCACAGUGGACUUGUAGAUCUCUGAAUCACUAAGUUUCAAUUUCCAUUUUCAGUAGAAAGUCUAUGACCCUAAAUGAUGACUGAAUUAAAACAGGGGCAAUUUUUGGUAAUUUGUCGUUAUACAGCAUUGUGGUUUCAUCUUUGCCUUACUUCCUCAUUUAAUAGACAACCCACCACAAAUGUCCCCUUUCAUCACCCUAAGAUGUCUCUAACAAAGCCUUAAGAAAUGAGCAGGUUUGUUAAAUUAUUUACAUGGCUAACUACUUACAAAUUAUAUUUAAACUAUGCAGAGCUGGAAAAGUGCCUAUAGUUGAAAGCAGGUGCAAAUUCCUUCUGAAUUAAUUUAGUCAGCCUAGGUUCGUCACAUUCACACCAAUGGAAGUUCCAAUUUGGGGGUGCAGGUUUAUUUCUCUUAAAGAAAAAAAAUACAUACAUAUAUUAUUUUCAGCUAAUUUUGAAUGUUUCCAUUUUCAUAAAUGUGAUCCCAAUGUCACUAGACUGAAUUUCUUUUUUCUUAAGGAUCAAAUUAAGAUAAUCCACUAGGCUUAAAAUUCUGAAAGAAAUCAAUAAAUGUCUGUCUUGAGGCUGUCCUAUUUCUGGGAGGCUCUUAUUAGGAAAAAUGUUUCUGAGCUGUCUAAAUAUUAAUGUACACCCUCAGCAAAGUGAUUACAUGAGUGUGAAGUGGACAAAGCCCCAUUCCUCACUAAGCUGCUAGGGGUGUUUUCUGCCAGCUACAAGAAGAAGAAUCAACAUCUUCCUCAGAGGAAAAAAAGAGAGAGAAGGGAAAAGAGAAUAGGGAAAGUAAAACUCUGUACACAGACAGCCCUAACUAGGGAAAAUGGGGAUCUAUGCAGGAAAGAGGUCUAUGGUAAAUGUCUAUGAUGUAAAGGUAAGGCCAGUGAAGUCCCAUUUCUGAAAAUAAGAGUUUCAACAAACACUCAGAAAGUGAUUGUGUGUGUGAAUAAACCUGAAGAACAAGUAAUCACUAUUUCACUGAGCUAGGCAUUGCCCUAAACACAAUGCAAAUAUUAUCUCAUUUAAUCCUCACAGCAACCCUAUGAGUUUCACAUGAAAACUGAGCUUGCAGAGGUUAAGUAAUUUGCCCCUAGACCAGUAGCUAGCAAGUGGCAGGGCCAAAACACAGCCCAGGUCUUAAGUCAAUAUAAAUGCCAAACUUGAUGUGUGCCCUUACCAGUGGUCAAAUACCCAAUCAAUUUUCCCUUGAGACUGCGUGCAAUAAACAACUAUCACUGGGGCUAGACCAGGGGAAGUAGGUGGAGAUAUCUGCAUAUCACUGAAAGGCAGCUUCCAGAGAAAACUCCACCCAGAGGGAGACCAUCUUUGGGGAUGGGGGUCUCUCUCCAAAGGCACAGAAGCCAGAGCAGAGGCCAGGCUCUCAGUGGCACACAGCGGCCCCCCACUUGUUUAACACUCCACCAUUAGAAAUGGUUUUCCACAGGUCCCCAGUAUACAACCCACAUCAUUAACUGUUGAGAAGAAAAGGCUUAAAAGCAUCCUCCCUCCCUAAACUGGCACAAUGCUGAAAAGAUUGGGGUUUCAGGGCCUGUCUAAAACUCUAAAUAUUUACUCUUCAAUAGAACAAGUAAAUCCUCCAGGUCCAGCAUCAACUAUGUAAACAGGCCCUACUGCUUCCACAAGUUGUACCAUGACCCCAUGUCCUUGGGCCCCCCCACACAUAUACCCAUUUAUUUUAUUUUAGAAAAUCAAAUUACAGAACAGUAUUUCUCAAGCAGGUACUCAAUACUGUACUCUGGUAUCAAUUAUUUUCUACACAACGUGUAUUUUUACGAACCAGGUUUCAUUGAAUCCCCUUAUGUACAUUUUUGCAGAGAGUGCUCAAUACUGCAAAGUGGCAUAUUCUCCAUUUUACAAGAGAGGACACCAAAUUUGAGAGAAUAUGUUGUCUAUUACUGCACAGGUGAUAAACAGCACUGUUUGAAUUUAAACCUGAAUUCUGUAAUCUUUCUGAUAUCCCACCCAUUUUCCUUUCAAUUCUAGCUAGAAAUAAAUAUACAUGUCUAUUAAUUGCAAUAGAUAUACAAAAGAGCAACACAAUUUAAAUAUACUGUUAUCAAGUCUAUCCAUGCAAAGAUGUACACACACCCACUGACAUACAAAGCCCUUUUAGUCUCCCAUUUUCCAUAAUGCCCAAAUGACUGAUUGCUUCAUUCUCAGUUUUUCUUCACUCAAGCUAUUGUGUGCAAAACUGCCACUGCUUAAACCACCAAGUCACUUUAUUCUGCUUUGAAAUGGUGAGCUAUUAAAACAAGAUCUACAGAGCCACUUAGACUAGCUGGCAGCUUUUACUCUGAUACUUGCCAAACUGUGUCCCUGGACAAGAUUUUAGAUGGUUUUCUAAACACCCUCCCCCACUCUUAACUCUAUGCUGCUCCUCUUCUCUCAAAGACUUCCCCGUGUCUUUAAGAAAGGGUCUGUAUCAGUAAUAAUAAGAAAGGAGGAAGUGACAAAGGAAGAAGAGAGGGAAGGAAGGUGGGGGAGGAAUCGAGGAAAGGAAAGAAAGAAAAUACAAUCUUAAUCACAGCUUCAGGAGAGCAACAGUAGCUUUGUAACCUGAAAACCUCAAAGAUAAGAUGUGACAUUUAUGUAGACAAUGGCGAGUUACAAACAAAUGUUAUUCUUAGGUCACUGUGUGCAAAAGGUUACCUAGUGAAGGAAUGCAUCUCUCCUGCAAUUAAAAACCAUUUGUGUAUCUCUAACCUCAGCCUUGUCAAAAACAAGCCCCACAACCGAAUUCUAAGUUAUAAUAGUAAAAGCAAAAGUAGGAAUAGAAGGCAGGAGUGGUCCAAGAGAAGCCCACUUUGAAGACCAGUAGAGAGAAAAAGGAAGUUCUUCUUUAAAAGAAGAAAGAAGAAAAACAGCACUGCCCAAAACAUUCUUACAGAUGAAUUACGGAAAACAGUAUUUUGUACAAUGACCAAACAUUAAACUUCAAAAACUACUGUUGAAUAAUAUGUACCUGACUGCUUCUAAUCAGAUUGUUUUUAUAAUAUGCAGCAUUUGAGAAAAAUCAUCUUUAAAUACUCAAGUGUUUGAAUCAUUUGCUUGUAAAAUGCAUGGAAAAUUAAACUGAAAGCUAGGGAGGAAGAUGAAAUCUGAUCUUCACUCACCCAGAGCUUCCAUAGGAUAUACCUGUGGCCUAGGCUGCUAAGGAGAGUUUUAUCUCAUUAUCCUGGUUUGCUUUAAAUGGAUUGUGUACUUACCAGGGUGACUUGACUUUAAUCCUAGACUCCUCCGAAACUAUGCAAUGUGCUUUUCUACAGACACUUUGCUCUCCUCUUCUACACAUGCAGCCAGUUUACUAUUAUUAAGUUGUCAUAUUAACAAAUGGACUUGAAAUGAUAUGCUCAGUUCAAGUGCCUUCUAAAAAAACGGGAUACUUAAGAGCUCUCUGGGUUUAAAAACCUUCCUUCUAUCACCCCUCACCUCCCACCCACCUAUGCCAGACGAUUCUGGAAAGAAGAGGCGCUCUCCUAGAUUUGAGGGGAAUUAAGCAGUUAAAAAAAAAAAAAAGCAGUGCUUGAUGAAACUGAGAUAAACAGAACUGGGAUGUUUGUUCCUAACUAGAAAAAUGUCAAGCCAAGAAAAUGAAGGCAGUAAUUUCUAGUGACCUUUCAAGUCAGCAAAUCUUCUAUUUUUUUUAAUUGUGGUAAAAUACACAUAGCAUAACACUUACCAUCAUAACCAUUGUUAAGUGCACUGUUCUAUGUCAUUAAGUACAUUCACAUUGUUGUGCAACCAAGACCACCAUGCAGGACUCUUUCCAUCUUGCAAAACUGAAACUCUGCACCAACCUCCAGCACCUUGCAGUCAUCACUCCACUACCUGUGUCUAUGAAUCUGACUACUCUAGGUACCUUAUAUAAGUAGGAUCCUACAGUAUUUGUCUUUUUGUGACUGUCUUAUUUCACUAAGCAUGUCUUCAAAGCUCAUUCAUGCUGUAGCAGAAAUUCCUUCCUUUUAAAAGAUGAAUAAUAUUCUAUUGUAUGUUGCUAUGGUCUGAAUGUUUGUGUCCCCCCAAAAUUCACGUUGAAACCUAAUAACUAAGUGUGAUGGUGUUAGGAGGUGGGGCCUGUGGGAGGUGAUUAGGUCACAAGGGUUGAACCCUCAUGAAUAGGAUUAGUGACCUUAGUGAAGUGGCCCCAGAGCCACCUCGCCCCUUCCGUGAUGUGAGAAUACAGUAAGAAAGUGCCAUCUGUGACCCAGAAAGUGGGCCCUAACCAGAUAGUAAAUCUGUUCACACCUUGAUCUUGGACUCUCCAGCCUCCAAAACUGUGAGCAAUAAAUUUCUCUUGCUUAUGAAUUAUCCAGUCUACAGUAUUUUGUUGUACCAGCCCAAACAAAUGGAGACAUAUGUAUAUGCCACAUUUUGUUUAGCUGUUCACAUAUCAAUAGACACUUUGGUUGCUCCCACCUUUUGGCUAUUGUGAAUGAUGAACAUGGGUGUACAAAUAUAUCUCUGAGACCCUGACUUCAAAUCUUUUGGGUGUACACCCCUAGAGGUAAAAUUGCUGUAUCAUAUGGCAAUUCUAUUUUUAAUUUUUCGAGGAACCUCCAUAGCAGUUGCACCAUUUUACAUUCCCACCAACAGUGCACAACAGAUCCAAUUUGUCCUCACCCUAGCCAACACGUGUUAUUCUGUUUGUUUCUUUGUUUUGAUAGCAGCCAUCCUAAUGCGUAUCUCAUAGUGGUUUUGAUUUGUAGUUCCCUAGUGAUUAGUCUAAUAAUAAGUCUUUUUUUGUUUGUUUGGUUUUUUUGACAUGGGGUCUCACUCACCCAGAAUUUAGAUAAUCCAUUACAGGAGUAGAGUAGUUUUUUUUUUUUUUAAUUUAGGCUCUAUCCCUCUUUCCCUCAUAAAGACCCAUUCAAUCUUGAUGCCUCAGUCUUCCUCCCAGCCCUUUCUCUCUGCCUCACUCUCCAUAAUAAAGUGUUAAUAUCAGUUACUUCAUCAUCCUCUUGAGUGUAUUCCUUCCACUAUUUAAAAUCUGAGAAGCUCCCUUCCUGAUGAUAGUGACUUAGCAUGUGGGGAAGAGUCGGGAGGAAGAAAUAAAUAAAAGAGUAUAAGGCCAGGUGCGGUGGCUUAUGCCUCUAAUCCCAGCACUUUGGGAGGCCAAGGCGAGCAGGUCACUUGAGAUCAAGAGUUCGAAACUAGCCCGGCCAACAUGGUGAAACCCCAUCUCUAUUAAAAAUACAUAAUCCCAGCUACUUGGGGGGCUGAGGCAUGAGAAUCACUUGAACCUGGGAGUCAGAGGUUGCAGUAGCUGAGAUCACACCACUGCACUCCAGCCUGGGGAACAGAGUGAGACCCUUGUCACACACACACACACACACACACACACACACACACACAAAAAGUAUAAAUAUGUGACCAGAGAAAAAGACCACGAUAAGACCACUCCACAUUAAGAAGUAAGAAAAAACCUGAAGGCCACCAAUUUCUUACAGAAAAAAGAUAAAAACUACAUCUCCUCAUCCCCAUAUGAAAAUAUACCUGAAUUCACAGAAAAUUAAAUACCAAUUAUUAAUAUCUGAAAUAAGUUUAUCAUAAGCAAUAUAAGAACACACAUUAUAACAGUAACAUUUCUUUCAAUUCAAAGCAAAAAAUUUUUUUGUUUUGAGACAGGAUCUUGGUCUGGCGCCCAGAUUGGAGUGCAGUGGCGUGAUCUCAGCUCACUACAACCUCCACUUCCCAAGCUCGAGUGAUCCUCCCACCUCAGCCUCCCAGGUAGCUAGGACUACAGGUGAGCAACACCACACCUAGUUAAUUUUUGUAUUUUUUUGUAAAGACGGGGUUUUGCCAUGUUGCCGCAGCUGGUCUCAAAUUCCUGGGCUCAAGCAAUCCAACCUCCUCAGCCUCCCAAAGUGCUGGGAUUACAGGCAUGAGCCACUGUGCUCAGCCUCCAGAUUUUUUCCAAUGAUAAUAAUCUAUAUUCUGAUAAGGAAAUACGAAUGGGUAUAAUCUUUCUGGACAACAAUUUGGCAAUUUGUAUCCAUCAAGAACACUAAAACAUUUAUCCUUUUGGGCUCAGAAAUGCCACCUCUAGGAAACAUUCCUUAGGAAAUCAUCAAGAAUUAAAAGACUUAUAUAAACUGGAAAUGGCCUAAAUAUCGAACAAAAACAUGAACACUGGUUAAGUAAAUUAUGGUAUAACCACAGUGUAGAAUAGCUUAUAGUCAUUAAAAAUAUUUUUGAAUAAGUUCAAUUACAUGGAAAGUAUUCAGAUUAUAUCAUUAAAUGGCAAAAGGCUAAAUAUAAAACCAUAUAUAUACAGUAUGAUUGAAUGAUAUUUACUUUAAAAUAGGAGACACCAAAAUUGUUAGAUCAAGAAACCUAGUUCCAAAUUCCUACACUGCUAUUUUAAGUUAUAUAAAGUUAAGUGUAUUUCCUAAAUUCUCAAUCCUAAAUUUCAUCCAUAAAAUGGGGAAAAAUUAGUAUCCACCUUACAGGGCCUGACAGAGGAUUAAAUAAAGUAACCACGUAAAGUAAAAAACUCAUUAAGGAAUAAAUAUUAGUUGUUACUAUUGUUUUCAAAAUUUUAAAAGUUGUUCAUUAAAAAUGGCAGUCAUUCAAAAUAGUCAAACAUCAAACAAAAUAAAUGGUAAGCACCAAGUCAUAGCUUCAGACCAUGCAUCCAAUCAUCCACAGCAUUAGUAACAAGAAACCCCAAAAAGACAUUGCAAGAAUCACCCUGACCAGCUGCAGUGACUCACACAUGUAAUCCCAGUGCUUUGGGAGGUCGAAAUGGGAGGAUCACUUGAGGCCAGGAGACUAGCCUGGACAACAAAGCAAGACCCCAUCUCUACCAAAAAAAAAUUAAAAAUUAGCCAGGCAUGGUGGCACCCACCUGUAGUCCUAGCUACUGGGAGGAUGAGGUAGGAGGGUUGUUUGAGCCUCAAGGCUGUAGUGAGCUAAGGUUAUGGCACUGCACUCAAGCCUGGACAACGGAGUGAAGCCCUGUCCCAAAAAACAAGUAAAUAAAUAAAAGAAUCAUCCUUUUGUGUUCAAUCAUGCUACAGUAUAGAUGUCAAUAAAGAUUAUGGUGUCAGGAAAGAGAGACCAAAAAAAACUUAUGAAAUCAUUUUUAAAAGGUGGCCAGGGGGAAGAAACCAAAGAAUAAAAUCCUAAGAAUAAAGAUUCUCAAGGCAUUGCUAAUAUGAAAGGAUCACUGUGCUAUACGAGGCAAUCCUGUUUACCUUUAAAAAAAACGAAAUGAAAAAAUGGUUCCUAAGAAAAAUUAAGUGACACAACUAGACAUACAAUCUGGAACUCCAGUAUUCUGAUUCAAAAGUGUUUAAGAAAUUAAUCAAAAGAAGAUGAGCAAGGAAAAAAAAUAAUAAAAUUUUGAAAGUCCCGACUAUGUAAGAAAUAAAUAAAAAAUCUGGUUUCACCUGGUGGUAAGAGGAAGAAAUGUAAGUGUAUGCAAUAACAUUUGAAACUUUUAAUAUACAACAUGGGCCUAGGUUCUAGUGUUCACCAACAAGGUUUAAUCAAGUUAGUAAAAUACAAGAGGGCAGCCUGAGGAUGGUGCAGCAAUGUCUGACAAAGCCAUGGAACUGGUAUGCUGAUGGAGGAAACUCACCUGAAAUCCCAUUUUCCCUCUGCUGCCACCUGUCCUUCCCCAUCACAGAAGAGCAACCACUUCUGAAACACUUUACAACCAGGAAUCCAAGAGAAAACUAGCCCUGUCCAUAGAGAAUUCAAAUAUUUUCAACAGAGAAGUCAUAAGUGAACUCAGGGUAUUAAUUUCAUAAUCCUAGAUGACAUUACAUCAUGGUGAUAAUUUAAAGUUAUCUCACCUACCUCCUCCACCAUUCUAAGGCACUGCCCCUUAACAGUAAUGUUAUGCCUUUUACCCAUAAAUUAACCUAUAACAAAUAGCCAAACUACUUCACUGUGUAAAUUCAAAACUUUUUAUUUUACUAGAUGAGAAAACUGUACUAAGUUCUGCAAAGAAUGCCAACCCUCUGAUUUUAGGUUGUUCUCCAACAAAACAUCCACUGUCAUUCAGAAACUAUGAGAAGCUAUUUAUGUCUGCAGACCACUUUUUUUUUUUUUUUUUUUUUUGAGACAGGGUCUCACUCUGUUGCCCAGGCUAGAGUGUAGUAGCGCAAUCACAGCUCACUGCAGCCUCAGCCUCCCUGGGCCCAUGUGAUCCUCCCACAUAAGCCACUGCACCCGGCCUGAAGCCCACUCUUGCCUCACACACUAGUCUCUGGCAAAGCAGGUAUCCAUAGUUUUAAUGUGAAUAUUGCCAUAUAACUUAACAAGCUAAAUAAGGAACACUUAUAGGGUUUAACAUCCAGCACUGAUUGCAUGAGAAAACCAUGGUUGUAUGCAAGUUGUUCCCAAACAGUCUUUUAAAAUAUAUCAGAUCAGUCUCUUCAUUACAAGGUACACUAUAGGAACACUGAGGAACAAAUUCCUUCAGUAAUGAACCUCACCUGAUACCCCCACUGUUUCCUAGUAGUCAUUCACUCACUCCCCUCCUUUCCCCCUAAGUACCAGCAACCAGGAACACGCUCUCACACUCUCUCUCUCUCUCGCUCUCUCAACUAUCCUAGAAGGCCUCACCCAAGGCUAGUGGACAAUAAAUCUAAAAGAAAAAGCCUGCUGGCCAGACAUUCCCUCAGACACAACUGAGACCCUGUCGUUUCUUGAAGGUUUGGGACAGCAGAUCAUUCUUGGGCUGAGUGAGUGAAGCCAGACUUUGCUGUCAGCCUCCCAAAGGAUGACACUCCUCACAUAGCCUAGCAUUUUGAGAGCCAAUCUGGCAGGAAUUAGCUUCUCAUUCUUACCCAGUCAUCACAAGAGGUGCCAGGCCUACUCUGGGUUCUACCUAAAAGAGGUCUAAGGAAACGGAACAAUUGCUUUCUCUAUAGAAUCUUUGUUGGUUAUUCUGAAAUACUGUAGCUUUUUGGAGCAUAAAUGAUAACAGCCCAAAUGAUUCUUUUGACUCAAAACACAGCUGAAAAAUACAAGAAACAAAACCAUUGACUACAAUAUUUCUGUGGAAAAAAAAAAUCUCUUGACCAGGUGCAGGGGCUCACACCUAUAAUCCCAGCACUUUGGGAGGCCAAGGUGGGCGGGUCACUUGAGCUCAGGAGUUUGAGACAAGCCUGGGAAACACAGGGAGACCCCAUCUCUACAAAAAAUUACAAAAAAUUAGCUAGGCCUGGUAGCAUGCACCUGUGGUCCUAGCUACUCGUGAGGCUGAGGUGAGAGGACUGCUUGAGCCCAGGAGGUGGAGGUUGCAGUGAGCCAUGAUCAUGCCACUGCACUCCAGCAUGGGUGAUGGAGGGAGAACAUGUCUCAAAAAAAAAGAAAAGAAAAAAAAAAGACAUUCAGCCGCUUCAAAGUUUCAUCAGAUAAUAAUUAGUAAUUUUCAAGCACAGAUGAUCCACAGGAAUCAAAGAAUCAGGAGGGUGAAAACAAUAAGUUACAAAGGCCAUUUGCCUCAACACAUAAAUGAGAAAAUAAACAGAGAUAAAUUAGGAGGCUGCCCCAGUGUAAGUUUUGACUAGAAUUUGAGUGUUCUGAUUCCCGAUCUAUACUUCCUGCAUCUCUCCUAAAUCCACAGCAUUAAAGUUAACAUUUGUAACAAUAACUCAAAGAAUUUUUAUUUCUAAAGAGAUUCAGCACAAUUUCCACAUUUAUAAAUACCACAGCAAAACACAUUUUUGAAAAAGUGAAGUUGGAAGAAGCAUUUAUUAUAGUUCCUGAGAAUGGCUUACUGAAUCUAAACAAGCAUUAAAUCAAGAAAAUUCAUCAAACAGAUGACAAUGCUAUAUUAUUAAUAAAUAACAUUUUGUUCUUUGUGAUCAAGUUAACAUAAUAUAAUGGUAUACAAUUUUUAUUCUAAGAGAAUCAGCCCAGUUGGGGGAAAAAAAAAAACCCACAUACUUUACUCUGUCAAUCAAUUGGUCGCUACAGUGGUCCUGGUCCUUACCCGGAGUUAAGUAUGGUAUAAAGGCUAUGCUAAAAACCACCAAGCUUUGAGAUCUUCACAGACUCAGCCAAAAGUCAUUGACCUUAGGCUGCCCCAUUUUUUACCAACCAUGCUGGGCUUCCAUAUUGCUGUCCAUAUGCUGUCAUAAAGUGACAUGUUCUGGCUACCAAUGCCUCCACUAUCCACACCACAACAGCCGGGAUGAAAAUAAAAAGAAAGGACUGUUUAACUGGGCAAAGCCCAUUUCAGUCAAUUCUUUGAUGUUUCUCUUAGUAGAGAGAAAUACCUAAGACUGAGAAGAAGGCAUUCAAAUUCACGAUUUUAGCCUCAACAAGGACAUUACUGACUUCACUUAAUGUAAAAUAAAGACUUGGAUAAUCGGGUAUUUCUUAGGUAUGGUCUCAGCUUUGAAAUAAAUGACAAAGCAUACAAAGAGAAGAAUCUUGAGAGAAUUAUUCCUAUUACAAAAGCAUUUCAUUCUACAAAGGGAUUCACAACAGGCUUUUAAAAUCAUCGUAUACAUUAUAGAAUACUGCAAAAGAAAAGGAUGUAUAUACAAAAUGCUAGAAGGCCAUUGAAUGUGAGUUGUAGCAGUGAUAAUACUGAAUGGUUCUGUUUUAUUGAUUCAGGCCCUUGAUGGAUGCUACUGAGAUGAAGGUCACAGGUUGGAUCCCAGAAUAUGUCAUUUAGGUUUGAGAAGAGGAGAAACAUGCAGAACUUCUAACUCUAGAUACAACUAAAUUGUGGAUUUUCAGAGAAUUGAGAAGGUCUGAAUGGUUAAAGACAGAGCUAUCAUAGGAAGAAACAAAGUAGAUAGUCUUCCAAAAGUCAGUAGCAUUCUGUGACAUAUGUGCCAUAUUGGAUUAUUAUUCUGAACAUUAACCAUAAACUUUCACUUUCCAUACAGGCCAUUAAAUCUCUUCUACUUAGAUCAAUGGCCUGAAGGAAACUGACCAACUCACUUUAUAUCAAUAUGAGGACAUUUGCUGUGACUGACAAUUGAAAGCAGCUCACCCCUCUAUGUAAACUCUAAGUCGAGUCAUGGGAUUAUGGAAAAAAAGAAAGAAAAUAAAAAAUGUUUAGAAAGAGGAAAAAUGAACUUCCAGUUUUCAACUAUCACAUUAGUGUUUAUCUUUUUAGAGGCAGAGACAAUCUAAGUACAAAGCCAUCUCCAUUCUAACAACUUAAUUUUUUUAAACACAGUGAACAGCCUGGAAUCAGCAUAGAGAAGGAGGAUGUCAGGAAAAUUCGGCUGUUUGUGCACAGAUCAUGCUUUUGUUCUCCAACACAUAAGACUGCACAUCUCUUUCAAAUGCAUUAUCUAUCUAAAAGUGAGCCCAGCCAGAAUUUAUCAGACACAAUUUAUCAUAAUUCAGCAAUUGUGUGUAGAUCCCCUACUAUGUGCCAACAUAGAGCAAACCUGCUAUCCCUGAGUCUGCUUGUUUUUGGAGAGCCUGCAAAACUGUAUAGAGUUCAUAUUUUCUGUAACCAAACAUUUGCUCUAGAGGUAACUCUACACCUGCAAACACACCCAUUUUUUCACAGCACUGCUGUGACUUUUUUGAUCCUUUUUUGUAUAGGAUCAAUGACACAUCUGUAUUAGAUUCCAAUAAUUUAAACAUAGGUCUUAAAGUCUGUUGCUUUGUGCAUGUCAAUUUCUGCAGGCGAACAGCUGACUUCGUUUUCAAGCAACAAUACUGUCCGGUGAAAAAUAUACCUUCCUGAGACAAAAGAUACUUUUUGUCCCCAUGAAGCUUUGUUGCCUCGUCCAGCAGCAAAUGACUCAAAAGACGCGUUCUGCCACCCUCAACAGUCGUUUUCAGGCAAAGAGGAACAGCAAAUGAGGUACCAGCAAAAGCUUAAGAAACAAAACCAAGGUGAGUUGAAGGCGGGGAAGAAAGGCGGAGUGGAAGCGAGAAAUGCAAUCUAAACUCUACUUUGUGAUCUAAGAAAUUCAGCCUUUACUGAUGAAUUGGGCAGAGGAAGGGGAGGGUACAAGAAAGGGGAAGAUAAUAUUUUCUGUUACGAAAAAAAAAGUGUGCUGCUGUCCUGGUUUUCUUUCAGUAGCACCCAGAGAAUGCAUGGCAGGCACAAUCUAGUUUCGCGACGAAAACGAAUUCCAUGAGAAUAACACAAGUUUGUAUGUGACACAAUGGAGAUAUCCAACCAAACCGAGGAACUAUACAAUUGCAUGACAAUUCCUCAAAAUUUUAAGUGCCUUCGAGUACCAAAAAAGAAGUUUAUGAUUAUUCACAGGACAGGGUUAUCAGUUUAAUAUCACCAUUUUGCAGGAUGUGGACCCGUCCUGUCACAUCCUCUUUUAAAGAAACCGCUAAUAACCUGAAAUGCUAUUAUCCCCUAUUUGCCAGGACUGUGGGCCUGAUAGUUUCACGGAUAAAAACCAAACAGCGACCAGAAGCCAGGAAGUCCCUGGCGAAUUCUUUUGAAGCACAACCCCUACAAUCCGUGUGCCGGAGCAUAAAGAUUGAAGUGUGCGCGGUUCCUCCUCCCUCCGGGCCGCGCGUCCGGAACGUUCCUGGCUGUCAGCGCUGUGCUAGCAGGAAGGUCUGUGAAGUUUGCAAUAAAGCCAUUAUGAAGUCAAGAAUGGAGGUUCCAUUUUUAAAGAACUCAGAGGGGGUAGAUCUUGAUUGACAUCUCAUCUGGGGUCACCUGGUCUUCAACUGAGAGAUCUUUUGGUUCGCCACGGAUGCCCCUUGCAGUUAUGGAAGUUCACUCUUUGAGAGAGAGAUAAAUAAACAUUAAAAUGUAAAGAAAAAAAAAAUCAGCAAUGGAAGGAAAAAGGAACAAAAAGCAAUCCAUUGGCGUCAAGCUUGACUGGACCACUCCACUGCUCUGCUGCCGUUAGUGAACCUGACCCUGCAGCAGGAGUCACAGACUCACCACUCACCUCAAGUCCUCACUCCCUGGACCCUCAAUCUACACAUCACUUUGUCUUUUAUUUCCCUGAGAAAUACAGGCCAUCAGUUUGCAGAUCCCUCCUUUCCCCUUACCCUGCAAAUCUCCAUCUAUUUGGAAAAGUGUGCCUCCUACAUUCCAAAGCUAACCCCUCCUCCUCUGCCACUAAUAUCAGCCCUACCUGCCUUCUUCUGUAACUUGCUCCAUUAAUUCCCUCCCCUCUCCCCCAGGUCUCCCUGCCUAUGAACAUAUUCAAGGACAUCAUAUCUUAAAAACAAACAAAUAUCAGGCACAAUGGCUCACACCUGUAAUCCCAGCACUUUGAGAGGUCAAGGCAGGAGAAUCACUUGAAUCCAGGGGUUCAAGACCAGCCUGGGAAACAUAGGGAGACCCUAUCUCUACAAAAAAUAUUUUUUAAAAAAAUUAGCCAGGUGUGGUGGUGUGCACCUGUAGUCCCAACUACUCAGAAGGCUGGGGUGGGAGAAAUAUUUCAGCCCAGGACGUCACUGUGCACAAUUGCUUUACUUUUUUUUCCCUUGGUAUAGACUUGUUGAAGAGUAAGCCUUCAUGUACUGUUUCCUCACUUUACAUUCACUCUCAACUGGAGACAAUAUAGAGUCUUCGCAGAUGCAGCUUUCUCCAGACCAACAAUGUGGUUAGACAUCUGGUUUUUCAUUGUUGUUGUUUGAUUUCUCUGACUAGCUUCCCUGACCAGAGGUCGUUUUGAGUUUCCUUCUCUGGAAUUUGACCACUGAGCAGAGACACAUAGGAGAGAAGACGUGAAUGCUGAGUCAUCAAUCAGCAUCACUGGGAAGAAAAAGCCUCUCAGUUUCUUCUGCUGGGACUCCCAGAGCUGGAGUAUUUUCUGCUCUUCCUAAGGCCUGGUAAUUCAGCUCUUUGUGAGACUGUGAGCUUUACCAUACCCUUCCAGUAGCAACCUUCUUCUUUUUUAAGUUCAUUGCGGGGAAUAGGGAGUGAUGGCUGAUGGACAUAGGGUUUCUUUUUGGGGUGACAAAAAUCUUCUAAAAUUAAGUGGUGGUGAUGGUUGCACAAUUUUGAAUAUACUAAAAACCGUGAAUUCUAAAGUUUAAACAGGUGAAUUCUGUGCUAUAUAAAUUGUAUCUCAAUGAAAUUACUAAUAUUCUAAAGCCUCCCAAGUGACUUAGAUGUUCGGUGAGUGUUGAAAGCCAGUUAUUUAUCACAUCCUUAAGUCCUGCUACCUUUCUCUCACUCUCUAAGUUCAGUUUCCUCUUUGGUUUGACUUGGACCAAUCUGCAACAACUCUUGAUGUUUCUUGUAAAUUCUAUGACUAACUCCCAGAGCUUCUCCUGUCUAUCUGAUACGCAUUUAGCUUCUCCUUUCAGGCCUCAAACAGCAUGUUUAGAACAGAACUGAUCUUCUUCUCCCCAACCUGCUUUACCUUUUCUAUUUCUCACUCAGUUACUGGCACAAACUUCUCCAUAUAUGUUUAAGAAGACCUCUACUUUGACUUUCCCUGCUCCUUCUAACUUACAUCCAAUUAAUCAAAACGUUGUAUCAGUUUUAUUUCUGAAACAAUCUCUCCCAUCUUCCUUAUCUCUUCAUUCCACUGCCAGGUCUGAGUCCACCCUUUACUAUUUUCUGUUGGAUUAAGGCAAACCUCCUGUAAAGAGCUGCCCUGUCUCCUGCAGUCUCAUCCUCCAGUACCCCUUCAUGCCUACACUGAAGUCCUCUUCCUAAAACAGGAAUAGGGUUAACUCACUCACCUCCCCUAAACCUGUUAGUGGCUCUGCACUGAGUACUGGAUCAAGUCUAAUGUAAUGAGAAGGCCCAUUCAAUCUGGGCCAAACUUUCCUUCUUAGCCUAGUGUCCUCCUAUGCCCCCUGCACAGACCUUAGCUCCAAUCACACUAACCCAUGCCAUUACCUGGACACACUGUGCUAGUCUACACUCACGUGCCCCCAGCUCACAUCUCCCCUUUUCCUGGAAUGCCAUGUCCAUAUGGCCUGGAGAAUGACCUAAAGUUAGUGCCAGCAGAGAGCUUAUCAGUAGUGGGGCAGAUCACAGGGGAGAGCAGGUUUUGGAGCUAGGGUGAGGUGUCAAUGAGAAGAAGGGUGAUUUAUUAAGAAGUAAGCUCAUUUCAAGCCAUACACCUGAAACCUGACGCCCAAAGAGGAGGCAGAGACCCAAUCAACUACUGAUACAGUUUGUGAGGCUGGAGACUUGAGAGAACAAUAGGUUGAGGCAAGUGUAACCAAUGGAUUAAUUCCUUACCAAUCUAGGAUUCCUGGAGCGUGGAGUGCUCCAGGCCUGGUGGCACCAAGACUUUAAAAAGAAAAACCAUUACACAGUGAGAUUUGGUCUCUACACAAAAUUUAAAAAUUAGUGUGGUGUGGUCGCACACAACUGUAGUAACAGCUACUCAGGAGGCUGAGGUGGGAGGAUCGCUUGAGCCCAGGAGUUUGAGGCUUCUAGGAGUUUGAGGCUUGCUAUGUUGCUCAGGCUGACCUCCAGCUCCCGGGCUCAAGAGAUUCUCCCGCCUCAGCCUCCUGUGUUGUUGGGACUACAGGCACGCACCACCAUGCCCUGCUGGUUAGCUGUUUUUAAAAAUUAUUUUUAAAGCAUCAUUAAAUUUCUCAUACUGAAAAAAAUGGCCUGGAUACUUUAAGAAGAAUAAGACAGAUUUGAGCAUUCAGCAAUCAUAGCUGAACUUCCUAAGAGACUAUAGCAAGCUGGUUACUAGGGAAAUUGUUUUUUUCCUUACUGAAAAAAAAUCCGGUGUUAAUAUAUCAUUUUAGAUGUGUAAUGUUUAGGGGUCCUUAUUGUUCAAGGAAUAUAAAGUAAGAGGGGCCGUCUCUCAUUGUAUAAUAUAAAACAAAAAAGAAAAAGUAUUGAUCUCAGAGAGAAAGUAAAUUGUAGCUAAAUUAGAGGAAGAAAAUCAUGCCUCUUAUUUAUCCUUGACUCCCCACUGACCAGCACAGUGCUCAAGAAAUUUAUUAAAUGAAAAAAGAAUCAGAAAAAAAAUUAAAGGAAGAAAAAGAGGAAGGAAGAAAGUUAGGAAGGGAGGGAACAUAUCUUAAAAGAAACUGUAAACCAGUCUGUUCUGGUUUUUUUUUUUCCCCUCCUAGUUGCCAAUUGAAGUUUCUUCUUAAAAAUAACCCUAUGUCAACUGAACUAAGUUAAAACGUGCUAACCUGGGAAAGAUAAAAAGAAACAUUAUGUCUCUAUAGGUUCUUUGUGAUGAAACAAAUCCGCCUCAACCCAGAACACUAGCAAAGCGUGGGGUAAGGCAAAUAAGACUUAAAAAUUUUGAUGAUUUGUAGAAAACAGAAGUUCACAGUUCAGCAGUUCCUUCUUGCUUGGGAUGAUCUUCACAACACCAGCCCCCAAAUGGAAGGGUAACUAACUGCUCCAGUUCAGUUGGCUACCUUGUGAGGCUGGCAUCCAUUCCUAGCAAAAAUGGGCAGAAAUGGGGAAAUGCCUCCCCUUAAGACCAUAGCUUUUCACCUUGACCUUCCUCCAUUUUAUCUACUCCAGAAGGUCUCCACCAAGCUCCCAGCAGCACAGCAUGCUCAAAACCUGACAUAUCCAUGGUAACUUUUCACAGCAAUGUGAUGAAAUUUGAGAAACAAACCAGAAAUGUAAUGUGAUCACCCACAUCAUAUCAGCCUCACAGGCAAUCAAGAGCUUGGCUUCAAUUACAAAAUGAACUCCAGAAAUCUUCCAACAGUUAGUCAAUCCCAGCCUUUCACAUGAAAAUGUAUUUAAUUUACAUAAUACUGUGAAGAAGGUAUUGUUAUGAUCCUCACUUUGCAGCCUAUGGAAGUAGGGAUUAGUCCUUGAUGAAGAGUCAGAAGAUGUAUGUACUUUCAAAAGUGAUUUAAUAUGGAAACUGGAAAAAAAUUAUAAAACAUGUAAUGGAAUCCUAAAUAGGAUACUGAUAAGGUUUGGCUCUGUGUCCCCACCAAAGUCUCACCUUGAAUUGUAAUAAUCCCCACGUGUCAAAGGCAGGU
Molecule: long non-coding RNA, 29452 nt
Organism: Homo sapiens (human)
Lineage: Eukaryota; Metazoa; Chordata; Mammalia; Primates; Hominidae
Exons: 3
Source: RefSeq, a predicted model, not a curated record